CUACUUACCUGGCAGGGGAGAUACCAUGAUCACGAAGGUGGUUUUCCCAGGGCGAGGCUUAUCCAUUGCACUCCGGAUGUGCUGACCCCUGUGAUUUCCCCAAAUGUGGGAAACUUGACUGCAUAAUUUGUGGUAGUGGGGGGACUGCGUUCGCACUUUCCCCUG
Molecule: small nuclear RNA, 165 nt
Filed under: Cebus imitator (Panamanian white-faced capuchin)
Lineage: Eukaryota; Metazoa; Chordata; Mammalia; Primates; Cebidae
Description: U1 spliceosomal RNA (ENSCCAG00000006354.1)
Rfam family: U1 spliceosomal RNA
About the family: U1 is a small nuclear RNA (snRNA) component of the spliceosome (involved in pre-mRNA splicing).
Source: Rfam by way of RNAcentral